Molecule: microRNA precursor, 197 nt
Filed under: Oryza sativa Japonica Group (Japanese rice)
Lineage: Eukaryota; Viridiplantae; Streptophyta; Magnoliopsida; Poales; Poaceae
Description: MIR812 microRNA precursor family
Rfam family: MIR812 microRNA precursor family
Source: Rfam by way of RNAcentral
AAUAAGUGCAGUUUUACACUAUUUACGUUCAACGUUUGACCGUUCGUCUUAUUUAAAAAUUUUUUAUGAUUAGUAUUUUUAUUUCUAUUAGAUGAUAAAACAUGAAUAGUACUUUAUGUGUGACUAAAUAUUUUCAAAUUUUUCAAAUAAGACGGACGGUCAAACGUUCGGCACGGAUAUUCAUGGCUGCACUUAUU